GACGAACCGUGCGAACGUUGUUCGGAAUCACUGGGCGUAAAGGGCGCGUAGGUGGCCCGUUAAGUGGCUGGUGAAAUCCCGGGGCUCAACUCCGGGGCUGCCGGUCAGACUGGCGAGCUAGAGCACGGUAGGGGCAGAUGGAAUUCCCGGUGUAGCGGUAGAAUGCGUAGAUAUCGGGAAGAAUACCAGUGGCGAAGGCGUUCUGCUGGGCCGUUGCUGACACUGAGGCGCGACAGCGUGGGGAGCAAACAGG
RNAcentral lists this ribosomal RNA (253 nucleotides) under uncultured bacterium. RNAcentral describes it as "partial 16S ribosomal RNA". It matches the Rfam family "Bacterial small subunit ribosomal RNA", at positions 524 to 776 of the family's 1533-position model. The record is from RNAcentral.